GCUUUGGUUGAAUGGUUCAUGAGAAAAUGCACGGACACGACUGGAAACACCAUUUUUCAAUCUUUCAAGAGCCAUAACUCCUGAACGGUAGAAGUCAAAAUCGUCAUUAUUUAACUUGACCUCUAUUUUGUCAUCAGUUACAACAUAUUAAAAUUUGGGAAGCUUUGGUAAAACAGUUCAUGCGUAAAUGCACGGACACGACUGAAAA
Molecule: long non-coding RNA, 208 nt
Filed under: Mytilus galloprovincialis (Mediterranean mussel)
Lineage: Eukaryota; Metazoa; Mollusca; Bivalvia; Mytilida; Mytilidae
Source: RNAcentral